This 492-nucleotide ribosomal RNA is filed under the name uncultured bacterium. RNAcentral describes it as "partial 16S ribosomal RNA". It matches the Rfam family "Bacterial small subunit ribosomal RNA", at positions 29 to 507 of the family's 1533-position model. The record is from RNAcentral.
AGUGAACGCUGGCGGUAGGCCUAACACAUGCAAGUCGAACGGCAGCACAGUAAGAGCUUGCUCUUACGGGUGGCGAGUGGCGGACGGGUGAGGAAUACAUCGGAAUCUACUUUUUCGUGGGGGAUAACGUAGGGAAACUUACGCUAAUACCGCAUACGACCUACGGGUGAAAGCAGGGGAUCUUCGGACCUUGCGCGAUUGAAUGAGCCGAUGUCGGAUUAGCUAGUUGGCGGGGUAAAGGCCCACCAAGGCGGCGAUCCGUAGCUGGUCUGAGAGGAUGAUCAGCCACCCUGGAACUGAGACACGGUCCCGACUCCUACGGGAGGCAGCAGUGGGGAAUAUUGCGCAAGGGGCGAAAGCCUGAUCCAGCCAUACCGCGUGGGUGAAGAAGGCCUUCGGGUUGUAAAGCCCUUUUGUUGGGAAAGAAAAGCAGCAGGUUAAUACCCCGCUGUUCUGACGGUACCCAAAGAAUAAGCACCGGCUAACUUCGUG